AUUUUUAUGUGAUAUUGAUAAGUCCUUCAGUAGAACUUAUCAUCGGAAGAGAUUAAGGAGGGCUCAAAGAAAAAAUCACAUGUGAGACAGGGGAAGGUGGGGCCCCAUUAGUGUGCCCACACGUGUCAAUAACUACCGCGGGCCCUAUAAAUAUGGAAGAACAGGCCACGAUGAAAGACACGGGAAAAAGAAGUCUGAGCACGAGUUGGCGACGUUUGAAGCAGCUGGAAGGGGGCAUUCCCAGCGGUCGGUGGAGCUUUGCGUUUUUCUUUCUGAAUUUCUUGUUCUCUGUUUCUUCCUAUCAGUCUUGGACACUUAGACACUAUUCCGGAUUUCUGGUUUGGAAUUGAAGUUUUCUUGAAGCAAACUUUACUAUAUUGAGAAAUUCUUGCAUCAAGAUUAUUGGAGUUCUUUAUGGACUGAUUCAGUCCAUAACAUUGGUAUCAAAGCAAGCCGACCUUUGGUUUCUGGUUCCACCUCAGAUUUUCGCUGCAGAUUUCAUCGAUAUUUCGCCACUUCUCCUACCACAAUCUUACCUCAAGAGCAAUGGCCGAUAAUACUCCGGAUCGCCUAUCCUCUCACAACGACAAUACUUCAUUGGCGGAGGUUUUGACGCAAAUGGUACAAUAGCUCACACUGAUGAAUGCCAAAUUGGAUCUACAAGCUUCCACCUCAACUAAUACCACCAAUCAAGCAGAGCCUAAUCCGCACCAUGGCCCAAGGUACGAACGACCUCCUAUGAAUCAUGAUGUUGAAGGACCUUAUAAAACUCCCUUCCGAAACGGAGAUUUACCACUUUUCUCCGGCGAAAAUGCUCAAGCAUGGUUAAACACAGUUGAACGUUUUUUCUAUAUAAAUGCUGUACCAGAGGUCGAUAAGCUCCAUCUCAUUUCUUUGCAUUUUGAAGGACCAGCUCAAGGCUGGUUCGUCUAUACUGAGAAGCAGACUGGAUUUGAGAAUUAUCUGGAUUUUAAAAGGAAGUUUGAACGUCGUUAUGGUUUUUCUUCCAAAGUGUUAAAAGAAAAAUUGUUUAAUAUCCAUCAAACUCAUACAGUAUCCGAAUAUUGAACUGAAUUCGAGGAUUUGAUUGCAUAUCUACCUAAUUUGGAUGAAGAAACAUUGGAGACUGCAUACCUAAAUGGACUCAAGCCUGAAAUCAAGGUUGAAAUACCAAAAUAUCGGCCCUUUGGACUUCAACAAAUUAUGGAUGUUUCGCUUGAAGUAGAAGCCAGUUUACAGAUCAUUUGGGAAACUUGGCCCAACAACAUUCGCCAAGCCCUUUCAAGGCAAUCUACGGAGGCCAGACAGAGGCCUGCUGUACCACGCACCUUCCACACUACAACCGUGCCAGCUGCACAUAUUACUCAAGGGCUUUCACAUUCCAAAGAUACUACUUCAAUCCCGGCCAAGCCGGCUUCUACUGAGAACUUUACCAGGCCGCCGAGAAAGAAGAUUAUGAGACUAACCGAUGAAGAAUUUCAGCUUCGAAGAGAAAAAGGUCUCUAUUUCCAUUGCAAUGAAAAGUACACUCUAGGGCAUCGCUGUAAGUGAGAAAUAAAUAUUUUCCUCGUCCAAGAAGGGGACACCAAUGAAGAUAUACCCUGUUCCGAAGAAGACAUUAUGGAGGUUGACGAUGAUCCUGUCCUCCCGGGUUCCAUUUGUGCUGUUCGAUUGGGGGCCAGUGCUAAUGGGGCCAUUAAGGUUUGGGGAGAGUUUCUGGGUCUUUCAAUCAUCAUCCUCAUCGACGGUGGAGCUUCCUACAAUGUCAUCCACUCACGUUUGGUACAAGCAAGGAGCAUCCCGAUAGAAGGUAAUAUGAGGUGGGAUUUGAUUAUGGCCGACUGUUCUAUCCGCAGGGCAGAGGGACUAUGUUUGGACUUACCUAUAGUGAUACAAGGCCUGGGAUUCCAUCAAGACUUCAUUCCCUUCAACUUAGGGAAUAUCGAUAUGAUAUUGGGUAUACAAUGGUUAAAAUCCUUGGGGUAGUUCUCCUGCAAUAUGGAUCAAUUGUCUAUGAAAAUAUUGCGCGACGAUCAAAUCUAUACGAUAGAGGUGGAUAAGGAUCUCAACCCAGCUAAGGAGUUUCCAUUUGACCCUAUUCAGGCUCAUCAUGAUUGGCUUAGAUCCAUGGAGAAGACGAUUCAAACAUCCAGGAAACGGGAUCGACAACUCAUCAAGGUAUAUUCAUUAUUACUUGAUCCUUCCAUACUACAUCUGCAUCAGCAAUUUCCUUCGGUUUUUGAAGAUCCCGCCACCUUGCCUCCAAAAAGAUCCAUCGAUCACAAAAUUCCAUUAUUGCCUGGAUCAAAGCCCAUUAAUGUUCGUCCCUACCGAUACUCCCACCAGCACAAGAAUAUCUUGGAAAGAUUGGUCAGGGAAUUAGUGGACAGACAAUUAAUUCGACCUUCUACUAGUCUAUUUGCAAGCCCAGCCUUACUGGUUAAGAAAAAGGAAGGAGCUUGAAGGAUGUGUAUAAACUACAGAGCAUUGAGCAAAAUUACUAUUCUAGAUAGAUAUCCGAUUCCAAUCGUAGAUGAACUAAUGGAGGAACUUCACGGAAUGUGUAUAUUUUCCAAAUUAGAUCUUAAGUCUAGCUAUUAUCAAGUGAGGAUGGACCCAGUAGACAUUUAUAAAACGGCGUUCAAAACGCAUCAAGGCCACUAUGAAUUUGUGGUAAUGCCAUUUGGCCUGACUAAUGCCCCAGCUACUUUCCAAUCAUUGAUGAAUGACAUUUUUGCGUCAUACUUGCAGAAGUUUGUGCUAGUAUUUUUUGAUGACAUAUUAGUCUACAACGCUUCUACUCAAUUGCAUGAUACCCAUCUGGAAAAGAUCUUCCAACUCCUACAACAGCAUCAAUUGCAGAUCAAUGAGCUCAAAUGUUUAUUCUGUCAACCUCAACUGGAAUUCCUAGGACAUUUAAUUUCAUCCAAGGGAGUUGCAACAUCAAUGAAGAAGGUGGAGUCCAUUAUUUCUUGGCCCAGUCCUAAAACACUGAAACAGUUGUGGGAAUUUCUGGGAUUGGCUGGUUACUAUAGGUGUUUUGUCUCUAAUUUUACUACCAUAGCCUGCCCCCUUACUAAUUUACUCAAAAAAAAUUCUUUUAAGUGGUCACUAGAAGCUGAGGAAGCCUUCAAACUACUCAAGUCAGCAUUAUCGUCCACACCAACCCUGGCAUUACUUGAUUUCUCUCAGCACUUUGAUAUUGAGACAGAUGCAUCUGGAAGUGGUAUAGGAGCUGUAUUGCUGCAGAAUUCGCAACCCAUUGCCUUUUUUAGCCAAGCACUACCAAAAAACUCAAAAUAUACCUCUACUUAUGAACGAGAAUUUUUAGCAUUAGUAAGGGCAGUAACAAAAUGGAAGCAUUAUCUCUUAUUUCAGAAAUUUUUUAUCUAUACUGACCAUUUCAGUCUAAAAUUCCUAAACCAGCAAAAAGAUAUUCCUAUACACUAUCAUAAGUGGAUGUCCAAAUUAAUCGGGUUUGAUUUUGAGGUCCGUUAUAAACUAGGCACCAGAAAUGUCGUAGCUGACGCCCUAUCAAGAUCUCAGGAAGCAGUCCAAGUGGCUAUCAACAUGCUCAUGACCAGCCAUUGGAAAGACCGAAUUACCAUAGACCAAGAAAUACUGAACAAUGCUAAGUUGGCAAGAAUCAAGGCUAUUAUUGCAGAGGAUCCCCAGAAAAUUCCGCAUUAUUCAAUACAAGAGGAACUUUUGUGUUACAAAGGUCGAAUAGUUGUCACCAAAGAUUCAUCAAUAAUCCCCAAAAUCCUUCAUGAUUUCCACGACACCAAAACAAGGGGACAUGGAGGUUAUCACUAGACCUACCAUCGAAUUGCGCAACAACUAUUCUGGGAAGGCAUGAGGAAACGAAUUCAAACCUAUGUCAGUUAAUGCGAUAUUUGCCAAAGGCAGAAGUCGUCCCAUUUAUCCCCUGCAGGCUUACUUCAGCCCCUACCCAUUCCCAUUCAAAUAUGGGAGGAUAUAACGAUGGACUUUAUAGAGGGUCUACCAAAGUCACAAGGCUAUGACUCCAUCCUAGUAGUGGUCGAUCGUUUAAGUACAGCCAUUAUAUCCCAGUCAAACACCCCUUCUCAGCAGAAGAUAUAGCGGCCAUAUUUGUAAAGGAAAUUGUCCGUCUUCACAGGGUUCCCAACUCCAUCAUUUCGGACCGAGGUCGUCUGUUCUUAAGUAAUUUCUGGACGCAGCUACAUAAACUACAAGGGACCAAAAUACUUCUAAGUUCUUCAUACCAUCCUGAAACGGAUGGGCAGACUGGAGUCACUAAUAGAGGCUUGGAAUGUUAUCUAAGAUGCUUCACCUCCGAAAAUCCUAAGAAAUGGGUACAAUUUCUGCCAUGGGCUGAGUACCAUUACAACACAUCCGUUCAUACUUCACUGGGAAUGACGCCGUUCAAAGCAGUAUAUGGAAGAGAUCCUCCUUCCCUACUAAGAUACGGUUCACCCCCAACACCAAUUGACUCCCUAGAUACACUGUUGACAGAAAGAGAUUCACUCCUAGAACAACUCAAGAGCCACCUAGCCAAAGCUCAAAAUCGCAUGAAGGUCAAUGCAGACAAACAUAGAAGAGAUGAAGAGCUUUCAGAAGGAGAUAUGGUGUACUUGAAGAUCAAAUCUUAUAGAAUGAAAACCCUAGCCAGAAGGAUGAAUGAGAAGCUCAACCCGAAGUAUUUUGGGCCCUACAAGAUAAUCAAACGGAUAGGGGCAGUGGCUUACGAAUUGGAGCUCCCUGAUGAUACAUCCAUACACCCUGUUUUUCAUGUCUCUAAGCUCAAGAAAGCUCUGGGACCAAAUUGUCAAUCUAUAUCUAAUCCAUCUUUCUUAUCUCAUGAUUGGAUGUGACAGGUUCAACCUGAAUCAGUGCUUAACUUCAAGCCCACCCCGGCUGGACUUUUACUCCUCAUCAAGUGGAAGGGGUUGCCAGAGUGUGAAUCAACUUGGGAGAGCCUAUCCAACUUUGAAAGAAGCUUCCCAGACUUCAAAUUGGACAGCCACGCCAAAUUUGAUGGAGGGAGUAUUGAUAAGUCCUUCAGUAGAACUUAUCAUCGGAGGAGAUUAAGGAGGGCUUGAAGAAAAAAUCACACAUGAGACUGGGGAAGGUGGGGCCCCAUUAGUGUGCCCACACGUGUCAAUAACUACUGCGGGCCCUAUAAAUAUGGAAAAACGGGCCAUGAUGAAAGACACGGGAAAAAGAAGUCUGAGCACGAGUUGGCGACGUCCAAAGCAGCUGGAAGGGGGCAUUCCCAGCGGUCGGCGGAGCUUGCGUUUUUCUUUCUGAAUUUCUUGUUCUCUAUUUCUUCCUAUCAGUCUUGGACACCUACACACCAUUUCGGAUUUCUGGUUUGGAAUUGAAGUUUUCUUGAAGCAAACUUUACUAUAUUGAGAAAUUCUUGCAUCAAGAUUAUUGGAGUUCUUUAUGGACCGAUUCAGUCCAUAACAGAUAUUUAUAUA
This 5465-nucleotide long non-coding RNA is filed under the name Spirodela polyrhiza (greater duckweed). RNAcentral's name for it is "long non-coding RNA (SPOL_LNC001274)". Lineage: Eukaryota; Viridiplantae; Streptophyta; Magnoliopsida; Alismatales; Araceae. The record is from RNAcentral.